AAGUGUAUGAUCGAAUGUAGUUGAGUUUUCAUCUGUAGUUUCUUAACCUACUACAUACAAUACUGGUUAAUAAUCGUUAGCCGUGAUCGAACGAACCAUCGGCUCUCUCUCUCUCUCUCUCUCUCUCUCUCUCUCUCUCUCAUGUGGGAAUGAAUGUACCUGAGAUUAUAUGUAUGUAUGUUUUGUUUUGCUUGUUUUCUAAAUAAAACACAACUAUAUAUGUUGUCGAUCUGUUCUGUUUUUUUCUUCGAUUUUCCCUUAUGAUUUCAAUCUUUCUUCAAUGGAGAAAAAAAAUUGAGAGGUUACAAUUAGUACGUAUUUACAUCCUCCUACAGGUAAUAGGUUUCAAUGAUCAUAAUAAUACAAUUACACCUAUAUGAAUUGUAUAAUAGGGCACGUUUUUACUGCGGUUCCAUCCUUAUCCACGAGAUGGGGUACGAUUUACGUCCCGUCACCUUGCCGCGAACUGUUUGCUGCGUCGGCUGUACACACGAUCGGUCACACAAACAGUUCGGUUCACGAUUUGAAAUCCGUCGAUGGGUUCCGAAUGACGACGACGAUUUGAAAUCAUACAUGAUGCUGGCGAUGGGUCCACGCUGGACAUCCGUCAGAAUCAUACGUGCGUCCAAAUCGAAAUUCGGAAACAGCCCAUACGUCGCACUGUUUGUCAUGACGGUUCUCUCGACGAUGUGGUGGCAGUGUCAAUCCGAGCCCGUCCGUAGUGGAAGUGGAUUGUUGUAUAAUAAUGAAGAUUUGGAAGAUGGAAAUGUUUUCCGGCCAUAUGGUUGGUUUGAAUGAAUAUAAUAAUUUCAUUCCUUGGUCAAUAGUCAAAUAUUUUCAUUCCUUAAUUUUAAAUCGAGUCAAUGGUCAAAUUCAACAAUUGACAUAGAAACAUGCAUGUGUUUAACUUUUUUGUAUUAUAUAGAUUCCAU
This 932-nucleotide long non-coding RNA is filed under the name Zostera marina. RNAcentral describes it as "long non-coding RNA (ZMAR_LNC001916)". Lineage: Eukaryota; Viridiplantae; Streptophyta; Magnoliopsida; Alismatales; Zosteraceae. The record is from RNAcentral.